Molecule: ribosomal RNA, 484 nt
Filed under: uncultured bacterium
Lineage: Bacteria
Description: partial 16S ribosomal RNA
Rfam family: Bacterial small subunit ribosomal RNA
Source: RNAcentral
GAUGAACGCUGGCGGCGUGCUUAACACAUGCAAGUCGAACGGUGAAGCAGGAGCUUGCUCUUGUGGAUCAGUGGCGAACGGGUGAGUAACACGUGAGCAACCUGCCCCUGACCCUGGGAUAAGCGCUGGAAACGGCGUCUAAUACUGGAUAUGUGAUGUGACCGCAUGGUCUGCAUCUGGAAAGAAUUUCGGUUGGGGAUGGGCUCGCGGCCUAUCAGCUUGUUGGUGAGGUAAUGGCUCACCAAGGCGUCGACGGGUAGCCGGCCUGAGAGGGUGACCGGCCACACUGGGACUGAGACACGGCUCAGACUCCUACGGGAGGCAGCAGUGGGGAAUAUUGCACAAUGGGCGGAAGCCUGAUGCAGCAACGCCGCGUGAGGGAUGACGGCCUUCGGGUUGUAAACCUCUUUUAGCAGGGAAGAAGCGAAAGUGACGGUACCUGCAGAAAAAGCACCGGCUAACUACGUGCCAGCCGCCGCAGUAA